Molecule: long non-coding RNA, 1171 nt
Organism: Ornithodoros turicata
Lineage: Eukaryota; Metazoa; Arthropoda; Arachnida; Ixodida; Argasidae
Exons: 3
Source: RefSeq, a predicted model, not a curated record
UUUUUUUUUAUGUGGUGUUGUGAGCAUCUUUCACAGUUCGACUCCAGAUAAGUGGUGAGACGGAAGAGAUCUGGUUCCACCUGGUGACGAUAAGGCGGAUUUUUUGUUCAACAUUCACUGUCUGGUAGACGAAGCCUACGAAUGGUGAGUGUUCUUCUUUCGCAAUGACCGUCUGUGGGCUUUCUCAUUCGACUGGGUUUCAGUUAGGAGUUUGUCAGUGAAACGUUAGCUGUAAAACGAAACUGUAAAGUUGUUUCGCUUAGCUAAGCUAGACAGAUGAAGAUGGCAAGCCUCAAGAGGAGCUUCGCGCAUUUGUCUUCGAGUAGCUUUAAGUUAGGCCUAACUGAAACCCCAUUCUGUUCGUCACAGAGCAACGGUCCCUGAUAUAGCUGACGCAGUUGGGCUUUGACGAACGGAAUGUUUCCUUUUUCUUGCGUCAACUGAAGAGGAACCUCGCGUUUCAGUUCGUAAGCCAAAUGGGUGUUACGACAAAGGUAAGCAGUGAACUUUUUUGUCCACCUUCGAUUCCAACUCCAUCGUGGUUAGGGCUAGCUUACGGUCGCGCUAUAAGGUCUAGAAUUCGCCGGGAAAAACGCGUUCGGCUUUUAGUUUGUAACUGUCACUUCCGUUAAUAAAAUGGUCCUUUGUCUUUCUUUCUUCACUCCCCCCCCCCCUUUUUUUUUUUGACGCAAACAUGCACUAGCUUCUUGGUUGAGGCAGGUACAUUUUUGCUGCCUCGUUGCCCUUUUGCUCUGUCAUUUUGUAUAUCUUGUAUACUUGACCACCAUUGCAAUAAAACCUUGCUUCAUUAUCUUGACUUUGUCUUUCAUCAAUCCCUGAUACGCAAACAUGCACUAGCUUACGGGCUGAGGCAGGUACAUUUUAACCGCCCUCCCCCUUUCCAUUUCCAGACUCCAGCCUGCUGCAGCGCAGCCUCGUUUUCCUGGUUUGCGCAAUCACAUCGUCCGGCAACGACAUGCCCAAGCAGAACAUCGUGAAGAACUGUUCUGCAGCCCGACAACGCAGAGCUCUUUCAGCAGCAGCACCAUCGCCACCACUACUAACUGUUCCCGACGUGGUCAAGACAUCAGUGUGAAAGAGGAAUCUUGGAGCCUUUUUGUACUGUUUCCUGUGUUCUUAUUCCUUGUUGCGAAAUAAACAUAUGUUCCUA